CAUAAAUAAAGGCAACAGUAGUAUACCGCUGUUCAAAACUCAUAAAUCCAUGGACAAAAAACAAAAUCGGGGUAACAAACUAAAACUGAGGGAAACGCAUUAAAUAUAAAAGGAGAACAACGACACAACACUAAAAUGUAACACACACACACACACACAUACACACAUACACACACACACACACACACACACACACAGAAACGGACUAAGCAUUAGACAAAAUCCUAUGAGAAUAACAAAUAUAACAUCAAAACCAAAUACAUGAAUUUUCAAUAGAUAAGUACUGUGACACGUCUUAUAGUGAUGUGAAUUCACACUCAAAAAUAAGAGAAAACAAACGACACAACCGAAACACAACGUUAAAAUGUAACACACAGAGAAACGAACUAUAAUAUAACAAUGGCCAUAUUCCUGACCCGUUACAGAACAUUUUUAAAGGAAAAAAUGGUGGGUUGAACCUGGUUUUGUGGCAUGCCAAACCUCGCUCUUUUAUGGCCAUGUGAAAUAUAACUUAAGC
This 517-nucleotide long non-coding RNA is filed under the name Mytilus galloprovincialis (Mediterranean mussel). Lineage: Eukaryota; Metazoa; Mollusca; Bivalvia; Mytilida; Mytilidae. The record is from RNAcentral.